GCAGCUCGCACAGACCUGCUGGGAGUUCAAUGUCCAUAUGGCUAAUAUGUCUUCUUCUGUGGUGCUUCCUCUGGAUGUCCUCCACGCUGGACAUUGUAAAGAUGUCUUCCUGUGUCUCCUUAAAAACGACCGGAGCUCCAGGUGCUUUUAUCAGCCCGUCAGCACCUCUCAGGCCCCUCGGACCGAUGACAGAGAGGUUUUAGGUCAGUGGGAUGGACUGAACCAACGUCCUCUGGGUUCAAGGACUGAUGCUAGUUUAGGUUUUAUGCACCGGAGGGCGACGGUGUAGAAACAGUUACAGAUUAACAGCGCUUGCAUUGUCUGCAGACACCUACUGUGUCAUCGCGGCUGCCUCGCCUUCACACUUUGCUUCCAGCGGCACUGCAGAGAACUGGUCCUAUGCACCUAAACCAUCUUUUGCCUCCAGCUCAGCGGAUCACCACCCAUUUUAGUCUUGUUAAGCUCUUAAAUGAACAAUACAUGGCGCUAUCUUCUCUGGCCUGGAGCUCAGUUAGGGCAACUGAGUUUACGCAACUAGUAAUAUUUAUCUGUGUUUGCUUUAGUAUUAACUAUUUCAUAUUUUGGCAGUGCAAUAUUUAACACAGCAAUUUGUCGGUGAAAAUGUUACAAAAAGCUGAAAACAGGCUGCUGUUGCCUGGUUAACGUUUCCUCUGUGUGCAUCUCCCUCAAUCUCUGCCUUGUGACCUCUAUUGACCCCUGCACUCCAUCCAUCCUGCCCCCCCCUCGGUGCUCGGGGUCAGUGUGGCCGGUGGCUGUCAGUGAAGGAUCACCUGAUCGUCUGCAGAGAGGAAUCUGCACGUCUUUAUGAUUGUUGUUCAUUUUAUUGUGUAUAUCCAGAAACCACAGAUGAACACUUUGCAGUCAUCUGCAGCGACCCGGGUGACCUCCUUCCAUCUGAGGGUUUAACCGCAGGCCUUCGCUCAGUGUCAGCCGUCAUCAGCUGAGUGCAUGAAGGAGGCUGUGUGCACCCUGAGCAGGGCGCUGUGGAACAUGGGGGGGUCUGUGUGGCCACCAUGUUGACCUCGUUGACCACAGCAGGACCAGUCUGCACACGCACACACAGCGACCCAAUCAAUAUGGAACUAAAGAAGGAGGCAGGACGUGUCAGGAGGAAGAUGGAGGAGGGUAAAUGAACGGUGUAAUUGAAAAUAUCCGUAACGGGGGCAGUGUUGGUGACUUUAAUCAAAUAAGCCACGAGCUGCGAUGUAAAGACAACCUUCUUUUUUAGCUUAAAAGUGCAUCAUGUGCCUAGAAAAUAAAGCAAGUGAAAUUCCUCCUGGAUGGAGUCGAGGUUUCCUCCAAACUAAAAGUAGUGAGAAAUAAUUUAGGAUGCAUUUAGCAGAGACUGAUCACAUGUCACUUAUCUGCAGUAAAGCACCAUUUCAAGUUACUUGUCAAAUAUCAAAAUAUAUCGAAACCUUUCACAGUUUGUUUCUCAUGUAGAUUUUAUGCUGUUUUACACGUUGUAACGUGUACAAAAGUUGCUAUAUAGCAAAUAAUGCAGGAUUGGGAGAACGGCUACUCUGUGACACCAGCGGCUCGUAGCUCAAAGUGCUAACGGCGCAAACAGUCAAAUCUGCUAAUUGCGCAAACAGUCAAAUCUGCUAACGGCGCAAACAGUCAAAUCUGCUAACGGCGCAAACAGUCAAAUCUGCUAACGGCGCAAACAGUCAAAUCUGCUAACGGCGCAAACAGUCAAAUCUGCUAACGGCGCAAACAGUCAAAUCUGCUAACGGCGCAAACAGUCAAAUCUGCUAACGGCGCAAACAGUCAAAUCUGCUAAUGGCGCAAACAGUCAAAUCUGCUAACGGCGCAGACAGUCAAAUCUGCUAACGGCGCUAACGUCAAAUCUGCUAACGGUGCUAACAGUCAAAUCUGCUAACGGCGCUAACAGUCAAAUCUGCUAACAGCGCUAACAUCAAAUCUGCUAACGGCGCUAACAGUCAAAUCUGCUAACAGCGCUAACAGUCAAAUCUGCUAACGGCGCAAACAGUCAAAUCUGCUAACGGCGCAAACAGUCAAAUCUGCUAAUGGCGCAAACAGUCAAAUCUAACCCAUCUAACCCAACCAAAGGAUGCUACGCUUCUGCACCACUGCGAGUGAUCAAAAUGACCUUUUAAUAUUAAGACGCAGGCCAUAUUAUUUGCUAAAAAAUAUAUACAUAUAUAAUAAAAAAGAAAUUAAAAAAACAGUUUUUGUAUUUCUUUAUGGAAAUAAAUGAUCAGACAUCUAUCAAACAGACAGGAUGUGUGGCAUGAAAUGUGUGGGUCUAGAGAGGGAAGUGUGUGUGUGUGUGUCAGUCAUACAUGUUAGUCCGUCUUGGUGUUUGAACAUGUUUGAAGGCAGCGACGAGGGAGCAGAAGGAGGAGAUAGCGAAGGAGGGGAAGCAGGAGACGAGUGGAGGAGGGGUAGACAGAGAGAGAGGGAGGGAGAGAGAGAGGGGGGAGGAGAGACAAGCCGACUGUGCACAAUGUUCAUUCAAAGUGACAGAGGCUGUGUGUGUCCUGGUUUGCACUUCCCAUUGCUCCACCGUCUCUCCCUCUCUGUCUCUCUCUGUCUGUCUCUCCCUCUCUGUCUCUCCCUCUCUGUCUCUCUCUGUCUCUCUCUCUGUCUCUCCCUCUCUGUCUCACCAGACAGUCUGCAGUUUCCAGCAGCAUGAAGACACCGGAGAGGAAGAAAGAACGGGAAAGACAAGGGAGAAGAAAGAAGGAAGGAAGUGAGGAAGAGUAGGGAUUUAUCAGCCAUGUGACGAAUUUGAACAGAGGAUGAGAGAGGGAGAGAGAGGGAGGGAGAGAGAGAGAGGGAGAGAGAGGGAGGGAGAGAGAGAGAGGGAGAGAGAGGGAGGGAGGGAGGGAGAGAGGGGUCUUUUCACUGGGAGGGGUCAGGAUUGAGGUUCAAAGACAGAGCAUGAAGACACCAUCACUGCUCCCCGGUAAGUCACUUUGCACCGUUGUUGCCUGCAUGUGUAGCUGUGCGCGUCGAGCAUCUGAUCCCAGAGCAGCCUGAGCUCUGCUUCCCAUCGCGGCUGCGUGGGAGAGACACGCGCGCCAUGUGACACUGUGUCAGGGUGUUUGCAGGAACCGAUGUAUGAUGCAACGCCAGGGAGGAGCGCCCAGACACGUCCACGGGUCCGUCCCGGAUCCCUCGUACCAUUGGCUGGUUACAAGUGGACGUGUGUGUGUGUGUGUUCCAUGUGGUGUGUGUGUUCCAUGUGGUGUGUGUGUGUUCCAUGUGGUGUGUGUGUGUGUUCCAUGUGGUGUGUGUGUGUGUUCCAUGUGGUGUGUGUGUUCCAUGUGGUGUGUGUGUGUUCCAUGUGGUGUGUGUGUGUUCCAUGUGGUGUGUGUUUUCCAUGUGGUGUGUGUGUGUUCCAUGUGGUGUGUGUGUGUUCCAUGUGGUGUGUGUGUGUUCCAUGUGGUGUGUGUGUGUGUUCCAUGUGGUGUGUGUGUGUUCCAUGUGGUGUGUGUGUGUUCCAUGUGGUGUGUGUGUGUGUUCCAUGUGGUGUGUGUGUGUGUUCCAUGUGGUGUGUGUGUGUGUGUUCCAUGUGGUGUGUGUGUUCCAUGUGGUGUGUGUGUUCCAUGUGGUGUGUGUGUGUGUUCCAUGUGGUGUGUGUGUUCCAUGUGGUGUGUGUGUUCCAUGUGGUGUGUGUGUUCUGUGGUGUGUGUGGGGUGUCUGGCCGCCCAGUGGACGUGAAUGACAAUUAGAUUAAAGUAUUGAUCCAGUCUGGAGCAGGUAUGUGUGGCCAGUAACAAUGCACGAGGUGAGGCCUUUCACACACACACUCACACACACACACACACACACACACACACACACACACACACCAGCAAACUAAAUAUGCAAAUAUGAUAAACAGCUGGAUAUUCAAACACAUACCGGCCGACCAGCACAGAGCAGACACACACAAACACACACACACACAGCCAACAGCUUCCCAGUGAUGGCGGUGCCUCCCUUGAACUCAUUCACCGGGGGUCAUGGGUUCAAGUCCCAAGUGAGGGAGGGGGCCCAGCGACUGGGGGGAGGAAGGGGAGCAGCACUCUACCCUCCCCCACGUCGUAUCUAUCUGUCCGCCCGGCCUCCACGUCUCCAUGUGCACACACAGGAAGUGUGUGUGUGCGCCGGGGCCCCGGCUGUUGGGGGGGUGGGCUUGGCCUCUGGUGGGUAAACAGAGCCACUCUGCCUCACUUAAUAAUAACAUAAGUGCGCGUUGUAUCGAAGCCAUUUUACGUUCCCUACCGUGGAACUGAAGCCCCCAAACACGCACACGUCUCACGUGUCAACACGUGCAAAGCGCAGCGCACACGUUCGCCGGUGUCUCUGGAAGUGCGUCCUUUUGUUUCUCGCCCUCGUUCCCAGUAGGAAAACCUUCACUUCUUACUGGAGGAUUCAAUUCAUUACUUAAAAUCCUUUCUCUCUUGAGUACAUUUGUUAUUCAAUCUAAACGUCCAGGCUGGUGUCUUGCUCAAGGGCACCUGAGGAACAGGCAGAAAUAGUCCCAGCGGACGCUGUGGAUGAAAGCGGACACACUACCUUGUGCGUGUGUGUAGACCGACAUCGCGUUGACAACACAACAUCUCCUCCAGCGAGAGACACACACAGCCUCUUUCAUAGGAAACUAGAGUGGCUAACCUUUGACCUUUACCAUUCAGCCUGUCUGGGUAAACCAGGUCUGGGAUCGAUCAACACUCCUCUAAGCCAGACGGCCCCCCGACAAACACCCACCCACCCAUCUUAUUCUGCCCCACCAUCAGCCCCCUGCUGGUCAGCUCUGUGGUAAAUGCACCCUGCUGCCCCCCCGCCACUCACACACCAUGUUCCAACAUCGCACGCGGAGUCCGCCGGCGAGUUCGGGGACGUUUGGACAGAUUCUAAUCCUUUCAACCAAAGUCUGGAUUGUUCAGUAGUGAAUCGUGACUGUUUGGAUAGAAGAGGAGCAGUGGUGGACAUAUUCAACAUCCCAAUAUUAGCAACUCAAUAAGUCAUCAAAGGGCCGGUAAGCUCGGCCCAGGUCAACGCCCCCCAUGAGUAUAAACAUCAAAAACCUUUUGCAACUGAAACGGGUCAAGGAGCAAAUAUCAGCCUGUGUCCUGUUCACAUUCCUGAUGCCUUCACUACAAAUAAAGGGUCAAAGGUGCACACUUUGUUAUUAGCAGUAUUUUAUAGAAAUGCUUGAAUAUUAAAACAUUUGAAUGACGUCCGUCACAUAAUAAUUUACAUUCACAAUGAGCCUUUUUUGAGUGUGUUUGCAUGUGAUGGGAAAUAAUUAACCAAUGUAAAUUCUAUUUGUUUUGAUACGUUUCUACCUAGUGACCAAACAUCUGUCAUUUAUCUUUCAGCGGCAGCCAUGUGUUGAGCCCUGGUUGUCAAGACGCCAGCUGUUUCUUGCAGUGAGUCCAUCUAAGCUACAAUCACUUGAUGUGACAAAGGGGAUCAUCCUGUAGAGAGCGCUGGACUUCGUUGGCGUUUUUCAAGUCUUGGGGAACAUUCAACGCUGUCGGUGAGUUUGUGAGCCAGAGAAACCACCGAGUGCUGAGUGUACCCUUACGCUUGAGCUCAUACGGGUCUGAAGUUCUCCUUCCCAUGUGUGCUUGACAUUACACACACAUUAAAUCACAGGCGUAAAUAAUAAUGCACACCCACUACAAGUCCAUUUUAUGCCUGUUCUGCUACGACAAAUUCUGUAAAAAAGCUGUUAAUAUAGAAUAAUAUAUUAAAUUAGAUUAAACUGGACAGGUUUCAGGUGUCAGAAAGACUGA
Gasterosteus aculeatus aculeatus (three-spined stickleback) is the source of this 5777-nucleotide long non-coding RNA. The record is from Ensembl. NCBI's taxonomy places the organism in Eukaryota, Metazoa, Chordata, Actinopteri, Perciformes, Gasterosteidae.